GGGAAAAUUUUGUAGAUAAAAAAUAGUUAGAUGUAAAGAUCUAAACUUUUUUACUAGAUUGGUAAUGGGUGAUUUUUGUUUUCAUAAUAAGACUACUCAAAAAACAAAUUGGAGACAAAAUUAUGAAAAUAAUGUGUUGGGUUUUAAAUUACGGUUGUUUCACAAUUUUUUAUAUUGUAACUUCAAUUGUAGUCACAAAAUUGUGAUAUAGAAAUUGCAAGACAUAAAAUAGGUUGAUGUCACAAUUUAAAUUGUGGUCGAAGCCUUGUAUGAAAAUCCUAAUAAUGACUGAAUUUGAAGUAUUUGGAUUUGUGAAAGAGAAAAAGAGAAGAAGAGGAAGAGAAGCAAAAUGAAUGAGAGGAGGCAGAGGAAGACAAGUUUGUUUUCUGACAGGACAUUUACAAUAUCAUUUCUAUUUAACUUCACACUCUCCUAUCUCUUUCUUGCCUUAUAAUACUAAUUUUUUUAAUGAUAGUUCUUAGCUUAUAAUAUACCUAUAAUAAUGUCAACUUUAAUGUGCAUCAUAUGAGAAUGUAUAAAGAAUAAAAGAUUGAGGCAGAAACUAGGUAGUGUGUUUUUUUAAUAUGUAUUGCCAGUUAAUACUAUGAAUUAAAAAUUCUAAGAUUUUUAAAAUUUGAAAAAAAG
RNAcentral lists this long non-coding RNA (645 nucleotides) under Cicer arietinum (chickpea). Its description in RNAcentral is "long non-coding RNA (CARI_LNC000118)". The record is from RNAcentral. Lineage: Eukaryota; Viridiplantae; Streptophyta; Magnoliopsida; Fabales; Fabaceae.